AUACGGAGGGUGCAAGCGUUACUCGGAAUCACUGGGCGUAAAGCGCGCGCAGGCGGUCUUUUAAGUUGGAUGUGAAAGCCUACGGCUCAACCGUAGAACUGCAUCCAAAACUAUUAGACUAGAGUGUGGGAGAGGAAGAUGGAAUUAGUUGUGUAGGGGUAAAAUCCGUAGAGAUAACUAGGAAUACCAAAAGCGAAGGCAAUCUUCUGGAACACUACUGACGCUGAGGCGCGAAAGCGUGGGGAGCAAACGGGAUUAGAUACCCCAGUAGUCC
This 274-nucleotide ribosomal RNA is filed under the name uncultured bacterium. RNAcentral's name for it is "partial 16S ribosomal RNA". It matches the Rfam family "Bacterial small subunit ribosomal RNA", at positions 523 to 796 of the family's 1533-position model. The record is from RNAcentral.